UACGUAGGGUGCAAGCGUUAAUCGGAAUUACUGGGCGUAAAGCGUGCGCAGGCGGCUUUGCAAGACAGAUGUGAAAUCCCCGGGCUUAACCUGGGAACUGCAUUUGUGACUGCAAGGCUGGAGUGCGGCAGAGGGGGAUGGAAUUCCGCGUGUAGCAGUGAAAUGCGUAGAGAUGUGGAGGAACACCGAUGGCGAAGGCAGCCCCCUGGGCCGACACUGACGCUCAGGCACGAAAGCGUGGGGAGCAAACAGG
RNAcentral lists this ribosomal RNA (253 nucleotides) under uncultured bacterium. Its description in RNAcentral is "partial 16S ribosomal RNA". It matches the Rfam family "Bacterial small subunit ribosomal RNA", at positions 524 to 776 of the family's 1533-position model. The record is from RNAcentral.